UGCCAGCAGCCGCGGUAAUACGGAGGGUCCAAGCGUUAUCCGGAUUUAUUGGGUUUAAAGGGUCCGUAGGCGGGAAAAUAAGUCAGUGGUGAAAGCCUGCAGCUUAACUGCAGAACUGCCAUUGAAACUGUUUUUCUUGAGUAUAGAUGAAGUGGGCGGAAUGUAUCAUGUAGCGGUGAAAUGCAUAGAUAUGAUACAGAACACCGAUUGCGAAGGCAGCUCACUAAACUAUUACUGACGCUGAGGGACGAAAGCGUGGGGAGCGAACAGGAUUAGAUA
Molecule: ribosomal RNA, 279 nt
Filed under: uncultured bacterium
Lineage: Bacteria
Description: partial 16S ribosomal RNA
Rfam family: Bacterial small subunit ribosomal RNA
Source: RNAcentral